CUUGGUAGUCCACGCCGUAAACGAUGCUAACUCGUUUUUGGGUCUUCGGAUUCAGAGACUAAGCGAAAGUGAUAAGUUAGCCACCUGGGGAGUACGAACGCAAGUUUGAAACUCAAAGGAAUUGACGGGGGCCCGCACAAGCGGUGGAUUAUGUGGUUUAAUUCGAUGAUACGCGAGGAACCUUACCAAGGCUUAAAUGGGAAUUGAUCGGUUUAGAAAUAGACCUUCCUUCGGGCAAUUUUCAAGGUGCUGCAUGGUUGUCGUCAGCUCGUGCCGUGAGGUGUUAGGUUAAGUCCUGCAACGAGCGCAACCCCUGUCACUAGUUGCUAACAUUCAGUUGAGGACUCUAGUGAGACUGCCUACGCAAGUAGAGAGGAAGGUGGGGAUGACGUCAAAUCAUCACGGCCCUUACGCCUUGGGCCACACACGUAAUACAAUGGCCGGUACAGAGGGCAGCUACACAGCGAUGUGAUGCAAAUCUCGAAAGCCGGUCUCAGUUCGGAUUGGAGUCUGCAACUCGACUCUAUGAAGCUGGAAUCGCUAGUAAUCGCGCAUCAGCCAUGGCGCGGUGAAUACGUUCCCGGGCCUUGUACACACCGCCCGUCAAGCCAUGGAAUCUGGGGUACCUGAAKCGGUGACCKAACAGGAGC
This 650-nucleotide ribosomal RNA is filed under the name Chryseobacterium sp. RNAcentral's name for it is "bacterial SSU rRNA". The record is from RNAcentral. Lineage: Bacteria; Pseudomonadati; Bacteroidota; Flavobacteriia; Flavobacteriales; Weeksellaceae.